RNAcentral lists this ribosomal RNA (471 nucleotides) under Synergistales bacterium canine oral taxon 138. RNAcentral's name for it is "bacterial SSU rRNA". It matches the Rfam family "Bacterial small subunit ribosomal RNA", at positions 9 to 497 of the family's 1533-position model. The record is from RNAcentral. Lineage: Bacteria; Thermotogati; Synergistota; Synergistia; Synergistales.
GAGUUUGAUUAUGGCUCAGGAUGAACGCUGGCGGCGUGCCUAACACAUGCAAGUCGAACGGGGUUAUAUUGGUUAGUUUACUAAGCGAUAUGACUUAGUGGCGGACGGGUGAGUAACGCGUGAGGACCUAUCCCAAGCAGGGGGACAACAGCUGGAAACGGUUGCUAAUACCGCAUAAGCGCAUAAGUUGCGUAAAAGGAGAGAUCCGGCAUGGGAGGGGCUCGCGUCCUAUCAGCUAGUAGGUGGGGUAAGGGCCUACCUAGGCGAUGACGGGUAGCCGGCCUGAGAGGGCGCACGGCCACACUGGGACUGAGAUACGGCCCAGACUCCUACGGGAGGCAGCAGUGGGGAAUAUUGGGCAAUGGGGGGAACCCUGACCCAGCGACGCCGCGUGAGUGAAGAAGUCCUUCGGGACGUAAAGCUCUGUUGUGUGGGAAGAAGAGGAUGACGUACCACACGAGGAGCCCCGCA